Molecule: ribosomal RNA, 377 nt
Filed under: uncultured bacterium
Lineage: Bacteria
Description: bacterial SSU rRNA
Rfam family: Bacterial small subunit ribosomal RNA
Source: RNAcentral
UAAUACGUAGGAUCCAAGCGUUAUCCGGAAUCAUUGGGCGUAAAGCGUGUGUAGGCGUCCAUAUAAGUUUCUCGUUAAAGCCCGGGGCUCAACUCCGGAAUCGUGAGGAAUACUGUAUGGAUGGAGAUACGGAGAGGCAGACGGAAUUCCUAGUGUAGCAGUGAAAUGCGUAGAUAUUAGGAAGAACACCAAUGGCGAAGGCAGUCUGCUGGCCGUCAUCUGACGCUGAGACACGAAAGCGUGGGGAGCGAACGGGAUUAGAUACCCCGGUAGUCCACGCCGUAAACGAUGCUAACUAGGCAUUGGAGGUAUCGACCCCUUCAGUGUCGAAGCUAACGCGUUAAGUUAGCCGCCUGGGGAGUACGAGCGCAAGCUUA